GGGCUAUCAUGCAGUCGACGAACUUUCUUACACCGAAUGCUUGCAUUCACCGUAAGAAGUUGAGUGGCGGACGGGUGAGUAACACGUGGGUAACCUGCCUAAAAGAAGGGGAUAACACUUGGAAACAGGUGCUAAUACCGUAUAUCUCUAAGGAUCGCAUGAUCCUUAGAUGAAAGAUGGUUCUGCUAUCGCUUUUAGAUGGACCCGCGGCGUAUUAACUAGUUGGUGGGGUAACGGCCUACCAAGGUGAUGAUACGUAGCCGAACUGAGAGGUUGAUCGGCCACAUUGGGACUGAGACACGGCCCAAACUCCUACGGGAGGCAGCAGUAGGGAAUCUUCCACAAUGGACGCAAGUCUGAUGGAGCAACGCCGCGUGAGUGAAGAAGGUCUUCGGAUCGUAAAACUCUGUUGUUAGAGAAGAACACGAGUGAGAGUAACUGUUCAUUCGAUGACGGUAUCUAACCAGCAAGUCACGGCUAACUACGUGCCAGCAGCCGCGGUAAUACGUAGGUGGCAAGCGUUGUCCGGAUUUAUUGGGCGUAAAGGGAACGCAGGCGGUCUUUUAAGUCUGAUGUGAAAGCCUUCGGCUUAACCGGAGUAGUGCAUUGGAAACUGGAAGACUUGAGUGCAGAAGAGGAGAGUGGAACUCCAUGUGUAGCGGUGAAAUGCGUAGAUAUAUGGAAGAACACCAGUGGCGAAAGCGGCUCUCUGGUCUGUAACUGACGCUGAGGUUCGAAGCGUGGGUAGCAAACAGGAUUAGAU
RNAcentral lists this ribosomal RNA (763 nucleotides) under Ligilactobacillus salivarius. Its description in RNAcentral is "bacterial SSU rRNA". It matches the Rfam family "Bacterial small subunit ribosomal RNA", at positions 44 to 783 of the family's 1533-position model. The record is from RNAcentral. Lineage: Bacteria; Bacillati; Bacillota; Bacilli; Lactobacillales; Lactobacillaceae.